RNAcentral lists this unclassified non-coding RNA (187 nucleotides) under uncultured fungus. RNAcentral's name for it is "sequence contains ITS1, 5.8S rRNA gene". The record is from RNAcentral. Lineage: Eukaryota; Fungi.
UUAAAUAUUAAACUUUUUUCUCAGACGACACUAUAAUGGGUUUGGUAUGCUGUCCGGCGGGCGCUUCCCAGCCGAGGCCGGUCGAAGCCCACCGGAGCAACAAGAGGUAAGGUAUACAAAGGGUGGGAGGUCUACCCGUGAGGGCAUGAACUCGGUAAUGAUCCUUCCGCAGGUUCACCUACGGAAA